GGAGGAGUUCGGGGAGGCCAUGGAGGAGGACUAUCGUUCCGCUCAAAGUGAUUCUGGCAAACUGUUCAACGCCUCAGGAGGGGGAAGCAGUUCUCCACCAACUCUGUUUUCAGAGGAGGUGGACAGCUGUUGACCUUGACUGGGGAUGUUAUCGGACAAUGGAGGGAGUCGUGGUUUCAGCUUUAAAACAAACCUGGUGCCCCAACUUCGAGGUAUAUUAAUGUUUCGGCAUUAAUAUCAAACUAUUAAUAAUUUGAAUCCGCUACAAUGUUUAAUAUGUAAUUGUAUAAGAUAAAAAAUAUUACAUUUUCAAUCUAUUUAUUUAUUACUCUAACUUAUAAACCACACACAUGCAUGCAGGCACACGAAUUGACAGGCGUCCCCUUUGUAUUCAUCCGGGCUUCUCAAACAGGUGAGUUCCAUCAGCAGUACGAUUUGCUGUUGCUCCUUGAGAAAAAAAACUUGUUCUUGCGCUACCGCUUGCUCUGUGGAAGCGUCAGGUGAGCUAAAAGAGAAAACAAUAUUAACAAAUAAUCAAAUCUCUUACAGUUACUAUGAGAUUAAUACUAAUACUGCUACAUAAAUCAUUAUACAAAUACAGUUAAGCCACGGUGCUUCUUACCACUCUGCUGCAUUAGUGCUUUCUUCUCGUCAUUCGACAGCAAGUCCUGGUGGUGGGAUACACAGCCCUGACCAGUCAGUGCCUGGCAUUUCUCAUCAAACAUCUGUUUGUGAUGUGGACGAACAAACUGGUAGAAGCCUGAGACAUCAAAUGAGACAGAACAGGAAUGACUACUAAAUCAGCCGAUGACUGCAUCUAACGACCGGCACCUGAUGGAGGAGCGCAGGUGGACGUGGUCUAGAGCCUUUAAAGCACAGGUGUCCAGCUCCAGUCCUUAAAGGGGCUACUGUCUGGAAAAGCCAACUGACACCUGAUCAUGGUAAUCAUCCCUGCUAGUUUUGGAAAACUAGUUGGAAAUCCCUACAACUAGCAGGGAUGAUUACCAUGAUCAGGAUCAUGUCUUCUAUCCAUUAAUGUC
This 1040-nucleotide long non-coding RNA is filed under the name Betta splendens (Siamese fighting fish). RNAcentral's name for it is "lncRNA (ENSBSLG00000000294.1)". The record is from RNAcentral. Lineage: Eukaryota; Metazoa; Chordata; Actinopteri; Anabantiformes; Osphronemidae.